RNAcentral lists this ribosomal RNA (301 nucleotides) under uncultured bacterium. RNAcentral's name for it is "partial 16S ribosomal RNA". It matches the Rfam family "Bacterial small subunit ribosomal RNA", at positions 509 to 807 of the family's 1533-position model. The record is from RNAcentral.
CAGUAGCCGCGGGAAUACGGAGGGUGCAAGCGUUAAUCGGAAUUACUGGGCGUAAAGCGCACGCAGGCGGUUUGUUAAGUCAGAUGUGAAAUCCCCGGGCUCAACCUGGGAACUGCAUUUGAAACUGGCAAGCUAGAGUCUCGUAGAGGGGGGUAGAAUUCCAGGUGUAGCGGUGAAAUGCGUAGAGAUCUGGAGGAAUACCGGUGGCGAAGGCGGCCCCCUGGACGAAGACUGACGCUCAGGUGCGAAAGCGUGGGGAGCAAACAGGAUUAGAUACCCCUGUAGUCCCUGUCUCUUAUAC